This 497-nucleotide ribosomal RNA is filed under the name uncultured bacterium. RNAcentral's name for it is "partial 16S ribosomal RNA". It matches the Rfam family "Bacterial small subunit ribosomal RNA", at positions 28 to 507 of the family's 1533-position model. The record is from RNAcentral.
GACGAACGCUGGCGGCGUGCCUAAUACAUGCAAGUUGAGCGCUGAAGGUUGGUACUUGUACCAACUGGAUGAGCAGCGAACGGGUGAGUAACGCGUGGGGAAUCUGCCUUUGAGCGGGGGACAACAUUUGGAAACGAAUGCUAAUACCGCAUAAAAACUUUAAACACAAGUUUUAAGUUUGAAAGAUGCAAUUGCAUCACUCAAAGAUGAUCCCGCGUUGUAUUAGCUAGUUGGUGAGGUAAAGGCUCACCAAGGCGAUGAUACAUAGCCGACCUGAGAGGGUGAUCGGCCACAUUGGGACUGAGACACGGCCCAAACGCCUACGGGAGGCAGCAGGAGGGAAUCUUCGGCAAUGGACGAAAGUCUGACCGAGCAACGCCGCGUGAGUGAAGAAGGGUUUCGGAUCGUAAAACUCUGUUGGUAGAGAAGAACGUUGGUGAGAGUGGAAAGCUCAUCAAGUGACGGUAACUACCCAGAAAGGGACGGCUAACUACGUG